RNAcentral lists this long non-coding RNA (1433 nucleotides) under Homo sapiens (human). Its description in RNAcentral is "non-protein coding lnc-ARSF-6:1". Lineage: Eukaryota; Metazoa; Chordata; Mammalia; Primates; Hominidae. The record is from RNAcentral.
AUAUAUAUUUUAACUUAUUUGUAGAAAUGAGGUUUCACUAUGUUGCCCAGGCUCGUCUCAGACCUCUGAUCUCAAGUGUUCCUCCUCUUUGGCCUCCCAAAGCACUGGGAUUACAGGUGUGAGCCACCAUGCUUUGGCAUGGUGGGGUAUGCAGUAGGAGAGCAGGGGUGGUGGUAGUGUCUCCAUAUGUACUCUCACUAAAACUGGUGUGGGCAGAUACUGGAUGCCUACUUAUUUAGGGGCAUCUAAAUUCCUGUGCUAAAUUAGAAAACAGAGGCAGCUCUUGAAAGGAGUGAUGGCGUGAAGGAGAGAUGCUUGGACCAACCAGCACACAGCCCUUAUAAAUAAUUGAUACCCUUGGUUUUAAUGCCACGUCCUCUUCAACAGUUGUUGGUUGAAAUGACACGUGAUUCCAGCCUGCACUAGGUGACGCUGAAGCCACAGAAGACACUGCAGUGGGAAAACCAGCAUGAGCCGCUGCCCCCAAGGAACCUCGAAGCCCAGGCAGAGGACCAGCCAUCCCAGCCCGCAGGUAAAGUGUGUCACCUGUCAGGUGGGCUUGGGGUGAGUGGGUGGGGGAAGUGUGUGUGCAAAGGGGGUGUGAGUGUGUAUGUGUGUGAGCACAUGAGUGAUGGCUAGUGUGACUGCAUGUCAGGGAGUGUGAACAAGCGUGCGAGGGUUGUGUGCAAGUGCGUAUGCAUAUGAGAAUAUGUGUCUGUGGAUGAGUGCAUUUGAAAGUCUGUGUGUGUGUGGUCAUGAGGGUAAGUUAGUGACUGAAUGCGCAGGAUGUGAGUGUGCAUGGAACACUCAGUGUGUGUGUGGCAAGUGUGUAGGCGUGUGAGGACAGGCAGAAGUGUGUCAGUGUUGUGAUGGGAGUGUGAAUGAGUGUGCAAAAAGGUGAGUGAAUGCAUGGAAGUGUGUGUCAACUAUGAAGGCAUGUAGUGUGUCAGUGUGUGCAGUGCAAGCAUGUGUGGGAAUGAGUGCUUGUUGGUGUGUCCAUAUCCAACGGGUAUGUGUGAAAGCAUGUAAAAGUGUGUGUAGUGUGAUGGUGUGUGGAUGUAUCAGUGUGUAUAAAUGAGAGCAUGUAAAUGUGUAUGUAUGAGUGUUGAGUGUGCAUAUGUGAGGCUGUGCGUGUGAGUGUAACCAUGAGGGUGUGAACGUGCUUAAGUGUAUGUGCGUGUGACAGUGCAAGUGUAGGUGUGUGAUGCAUGUGUGGGUUUGCCAGUGUAUGAGUGUACAUGGUGUGGAUCUGAAUGUGCACAGUGUAAAGGGCAUGAGUGCAAGUGUGUGUGAGUGUAUGUGAAUGAGUGGUAGUGUGCAUGCAUGUGUGAGUGCACGCUCAGAAGCAUGGAUGGGUGCAAGCCUCCCCUACUAACUCCUCCUCCUUCCUGAGAUCAAAAAAGUAUGUGUUUUCUGUGUUUCAAAAAUGUUUU